This 404-nucleotide ribosomal RNA is filed under the name uncultured prokaryote. RNAcentral describes it as "bacterial SSU rRNA". It matches the Rfam family "Bacterial small subunit ribosomal RNA", at positions 355 to 776 of the family's 1533-position model. The record is from RNAcentral.
UGGGGAAUAUUGCGCAAUGGGGGAAACCCUGACGCAGCAACGCCGCGUGAAUGAUGAAGGCCUUCGGGUUGUAAAGUUCUGUCUUCUGGGAAGAAAAUGACGGUACCUGACUAAGAAGCCCCGGCUAACUACGUGCCAGCAGCCGCGGUAAUACGUAGGGGGCAAGCGUUAUCCGGAUUUACUGGGUGUAAAGGGAGCGUAGGCGGCAAGACAAGUCUGAUGUGAAAGCCCGGGGCUCAACCCCGGGACUGCAUUGGAAACUGUUUAGCUAGAGUGUCGGAGAGGUAAGUGGAAUUCCUAGUGUAGCGGUGAAAUGCGUAGAUAUUAGGAGGAACAUCAGUGGCGAAGGCGACUUACUGGACGAUAACUGACGCUGAGGCUCGAAAGCGUGGGGAGCAAACAGG